Molecule: ribosomal RNA, 253 nt
Filed under: uncultured bacterium
Lineage: Bacteria
Description: partial 16S ribosomal RNA
Rfam family: Bacterial small subunit ribosomal RNA
Source: RNAcentral
UACGAAGGGGGCUAGCGUUGUUCGGAUUUACUGGGCGUAAAGGGCUCGUAGGUGGCCAACUAAGUCAGACGUGAAAUCCCUCGGCUUAACCGGGGAACUGCGUCUGAUACUGGAUGGCUUGAGUGUGGGAGAGGGAUGCGGAAUUCCAGGUGUAGCGGUGAAAUGCGUAGAUAUCUGGAGGAACACCGGUGGCGAAGGCGGCAUCCUGGACCAUUACUGACACUGAAUAGCGAAAGCCAGGGGAGCAAACGGG